UACGGGGGGGGCAAGCGUUGUUCGGAAUUACUGGGCGUAAAGGGUUUGUAGGUGGCCGGCUAAGUCAGACGUGAAAUCCCUCAGCUUAACUGGGGAACUGCGUCUGAAACUGAUCGGCUCGAGUGCAGGAGAGGAACGCGGAAUUCCAGGUGUAGCGGUGAAAUGCGUAGAUAUCGUAAGGAAGACCAGUGGCGAAGGCGGGUCUCUGGACAGUUCCUGACGCUGAGGCACGAAGGCCAGGGGAGCAAACGGG
RNAcentral lists this ribosomal RNA (253 nucleotides) under uncultured bacterium. Its description in RNAcentral is "partial 16S ribosomal RNA". It matches the Rfam family "Bacterial small subunit ribosomal RNA", at positions 524 to 776 of the family's 1533-position model. The record is from RNAcentral.